GGGCAGGUGAUGGAAUUGGCAUACAUGUUGCGCUUAGAACGCAAAUUUUAAGGGUUCGAGUCCCUUCUUGCCCACCA
This 77-nucleotide transfer RNA is filed under the name Thermoplasmata archaeon M11B2D. RNAcentral's name for it is "tRNA-Leu". It matches the Rfam family "tRNA". From Rfam's summary of the family: Transfer RNA (tRNA) molecules are approximately 80 nucleotides in length. Their secondary structure includes four short double-helical elements and three loops (D, anti-codon, and T loops). Further hydrogen bonds mediate the characteristic L-shaped molecular structure. tRNAs have two regions of fundamental functional importance: the anti-codon, which is responsible for specific mRNA codon recognition, and the 3' end, to which the tRNAs corresponding amino acid is attached (by aminoacyl-tRNA synthetases). tRNAs cope with the degeneracy of the genetic code in two manners: having more than one tRNA (with a specific anti-codon) for a particular amino acid; and 'wobble' base-pairing, i.e. permitting non-standard base-pairing at the 3rd anti-codon position. RNAcentral also lists the same sequence under 1 other name. Lineage: Archaea; Methanobacteriati; Thermoplasmatota; Thermoplasmata. The record is from RNAcentral.